GGGGAUAGCUCAAGUGGUAGAGAGCAUGCUUAGCAUGCACGAGGUCCUGGGUUCAAUCCCCAGUACCUCCU
This 71-nucleotide transfer RNA is filed under the name Camelus bactrianus (Bactrian camel). It matches the Rfam family "tRNA". From Rfam's summary of the family: Transfer RNA (tRNA) molecules are approximately 80 nucleotides in length. The record is from Rfam by way of RNAcentral. RNAcentral also lists the same sequence under 2 other names. Lineage: Eukaryota; Metazoa; Chordata; Mammalia; Artiodactyla; Camelidae.